CGUUAAGUUGGUUUGCCAACCGCCAUCAAAACAAAAAAAAAAAGAAGAAAGAAGAAGAAGUUUGCCAUUCAAUCACGAGUUACAGUCAGACUCAGUACUAGUUUCAACAGCCUACAGUUAGCAAAGUCAUCGACUACCAUCGUUUAACUUCGGUUUUUGGCAAUCAAGUGUGGGAGGGACCUCAAGACAACUGUGUGGCGAAUGCUUGAGAGUAUCUUCUCUAAUCGCCUUUCCAUUAACACAACCUGGACUGGUGCAGGGGAAAAAGCAUGUUUUAGAGACAUGUUCCUGAAGACCAUUGUUCAAAGAGCCAUCCGGAAGAACU
This is a long non-coding RNA of Xyrauchen texanus (razorback sucker), 325 nucleotides long. RefSeq lists it as uncharacterized. Lineage: Eukaryota; Metazoa; Chordata; Actinopteri; Cypriniformes; Catostomidae. The transcript has 3 exons. The record is from RefSeq and is a predicted model, not a curated record.